Molecule: ribosomal RNA, 301 nt
Filed under: uncultured bacterium
Lineage: Bacteria
Description: partial 16S ribosomal RNA
Rfam family: Bacterial small subunit ribosomal RNA
Source: RNAcentral
CAGCCGCCGCGGUAAUACGUAGGUGGCAAGCGUUGUCCGGAAUUAUUGGGCGUAAAGGGCUCGCAGGCGGUUUCUUAAGUCUGAUGUGAAAGCCCCCGGCUCAACCGGGGAGGGUCAUUGGAAACUGGGAAACUUGAGUGCAGAAGUGGAGAGUGGAAUUCCACGUGUAGCGGUGAAAUGCGUAGAGGUGUGGAGGAACACCAGUGGCGAAGGCGACUCUCUGGUCUGUAACUGACGCUGAGGAGCGAAAGCGUGGGGAGCGAACAGGAUUAGAUACCCCGGUAGUCCCUGUCUCUUAUAC